This 1439-nucleotide ribosomal RNA is filed under the name Shigella boydii. RNAcentral describes it as "bacterial SSU rRNA". It matches the Rfam family "Bacterial small subunit ribosomal RNA". Lineage: Bacteria; Pseudomonadati; Pseudomonadota; Gammaproteobacteria; Enterobacterales; Enterobacteriaceae. The record is from RNAcentral.
UUCGCUGACGAGUGGCGGACGGGUGAGUAAUGUCUGGGAAACUGCCUGAUGGAGGGGGAUAACUACUGGAAACGGUAGCUAAUACCGCAUAAUGUCGCAAGACCAAAGAGGGGGACCUUCGGGCCUCUUGCCAUCGGAUGUGCCCAGAUGGGAUUAGCUUGUUGGUGGGGUAACGGCUCACCAAGGCGACGAUCCCUAGCUGGUCUGAGAGGAUGACCAGCCACACUGGAACUGAGACACGGUCCAGACUCCUACGGGAGGCAGCAGUGGGGAAUAUUGCACAAUGGGCGCAAGCCUGAUGCAGCCAUGCCGCGUGUAUGAAGAAGGCCUUCGGGUUGUAAAGUACUUUCAGCGGGGAGGAAGGGAGUAAAGUUAAUACCUUUGCUCAUUGACGUUAUCCGCAGAAGAAGCACCGGCUAACUCCGUGCCAGCAGCCGCGGUAAUACGGAGGGUGCAAGCGUUAAUCGGAAUUACUGGGCGUAAAGCGCACGCAGGCGGUUUGUUAAGUCAGAUGUGAAAUCCCCGGGCUCAACCUGGGAACUGCAUCUGAUACUGGCAAGCUUGAGUCUCGUAGAGGGGGGUAGAAUUCCAGGUGUAGCGGUGAAAUGCGUAGAGAUCUGGAGGAAUACCGGUGGCGAAGGCGGCCCCCUGGACGAAGACUGACGCUCAGGUGCGAAAGCGUGGGGAGCAAACAGGAUUAGAUACCCUGGUAGUCCACGCCGUAAACGAUGUCGACUUGGAGGUUGUGCCCUUGAGGCGUGGCUUCCGGAGCUAACGCGUUAAGUCGACCGCCUGGGGAGUACGGCCGCAAGGUUAAAACUCAAAUGAAUUGACGGGGGCCCGCACAAGCGGUGGAGCAUGUGGUUUAAUUCGAUGCAACGCGAAGAACCUUACCUGGUCUUGACAUCCACGGAAGUUUUCAGAGAUGAGAAUGUGCCUUCGGGAACCGUGAGACAGGUGCUGCAUGGCUGUCGUCAGCUCGUGUUGUGAAAUGUUGGGUUAAGUCCCGCAACGAGCGCAACCCUUAUCCUUUGUUGCCAGCGGUCCGGCCGGGAACUCAAAGGAGACUGCCAGUGAUAAACUGGAGGAAGGUGGGGAUGACGUCAAGUCAUCAUGGCCCUUACGACCAGGGCUACACACGUGCUACAAUGGCGCAUACAAAGAGAAGCGACCUCGCGAGAGCAAGCGGACCUCAUAAAGUGCGUCGUAGUCCGGAUUGGAGUCUGCAACUCGACUCCAUGAAGUCGGAAUCGCUAGUAAUCGUGGAUCAGAAUGCCACGGUGAAUACGUUCCCGGGCCUUGUACACACCGCCCGUCACACCAUGGGAGUGGGUUGCAAAAGAAGUAGGUAGCUUAACCUUCGGGAGGGCGCUUACCACUUUGUGAUUCAUGACUGGGGUGAAGUCGUAACAAGGUAACCGUAGGGGAACCUGCGGUUG